UCAAGCUACAAAGGGCUCACGGUGGAUACCUUGGCACACAGAGGCGAUGAAGGACGUGGUUACCUGCGAUAAGUCUCGGGGAGCUGGAAACACGCUUUGAUCCGGGAAUUUCCGAAUGGGGCAACCCCUAGAACGGCCGCCUGAAUCCAUAGGGCGGUGCGAGCCAACCCAGCGAACUGAAACAUCUUAGUAGCUGGAGGAAAGGAAAGUAAAAACGACUCCCUGAGUAGCGGCGAGCGAACGGGGAAGAGCCUAAACCGAUGGUUUCGACCAUCGGGGUUGUGGGACAGCAACGUGUAUCAGGGAGGUUAGAAGAAGCGUUUGAAUGGCGCGCCACAGAGGGUGAAAGCCCCGUAUCCGAAAAUUGAACUGAGCUAGCUGUAUCCCGAGUAGCACGGAGCACGUGAAAUUCCGUGUGAAUCCGCGAGGACCACCUCGUAAGGCUAAGUACUCCUGUGUGACCGAUAGCGCAACAGUACCGCGAGGGAAAGGUGAAAAGAACCCCGGGAGGGGAGUGAAAUAGAACAUGAAACCGUGAGCUUACAAGCAAUGGGAGCCCGACUGAUCGGGUGACCGUGUGCCUGUUGAAGAAUGAGCCGGCGACUUAUAGGCACUGGCAGGUUAAACCGGGAAUGGUGGAGCCAUAGCGAAAGCGAGUCUGAAUAGGGCGAUUGUCAGUGUUUAUAGACCCGAACCCGGGUGAUCUAACCAUGGCCAGGAUGAAGCUUGGGUGAUACCAAGUGGAGGUCCGAACCGACUGAUGUUGAAAAAUCAGCGGAUGAGCUGUGGUUAGGGGUGAAAUGCCAAUCGAACCCGGAGCUAGCUGGUUCUCCCCGAAAUACGUUGAGGCGUAGCGUCUAGUGCUCCAGCAGGGGGGUAAAGCCACCGUUUCGGUGCGGGCUGCGAGAGCGGUACCAAAUCGAGACGAACUCUGAAUACCCUGUGUGUAACUAGGCAGUCAGACUGUGGGGGAUAAGCUCCAUGGUCGAAAGGGAAACAGCCCAGACCGCCAGCUAAGGUCCCCAAAUCAACGCUAAGUGAUAAAGGAGGUGGGAUUGCCCAGACAACCAGGAGGUUUGCCUAGAAGCAGCCAUCCUCAAAGGAGUGCGUAAUAGCUCACUGGUCGAGCGAUCCUGCGCCGAAAAUGAAUGGGGCUAAGUGUUGUACCGAAGCUGCGGAUUUAUGGUAGGGGAGCGUUCUAUGUGGGGCGAAGCGUUAGCGUGAGCGGGCGUGGACUGCAUAGAAGUGAGAAUGUCGGCUUGAGUAGCGAAAACAUGGGUGAGAAUCCCAUGCACCGAAACCCUAAGGGUUCCUCCGGCAGGCUCGUCCGCGGAGGGUUAGUCAGGACCUAAGGCGAGGCCGAAAGGCGUAGUCGAUGGACAACAGGUCAACAUUCCUGUACCGAUGAUGUUUUGGGAAGGGGGACGGAGAAGGCUAGCCAAGCCAGAUGUUGGUUACUGGUCCAAGCGUUCGAGGCGUUGAGAACCGGCGAAAACGGUUUGAGCUGAGGCGUGAGUGCGAGCUGCUACGGCAGCGAAGUUGGUGACGUCAAGCUUCCAAGAAAAGCCCUAUACCCGUUAAGGCAUCAUUGCCUGUACCCGAAACCGACACAGGUGGGGUGGUAGAGAAUACCGAGGGGCGCGAGGUAACUCUCUCUAAGGAACUCGGCAAAAUGGCCCCGUAACUUCGGGAGAAGGGGUGCCACCGCAAGGUGGUCGCAGUGAAGAGGCCCAGGCGACUGUUUACCAAAAACACAGGUCUCCGCUAAGUCGCAAGACGAUGUAUGGGGGCUGACGCCUGCCCAGUGCCGGAAGGUUAAGGAAGCCGGUCAGCGUAAGCGAAGCUGGCGACUGAAGCCCCGGUGAACGGCGGCCGUAACUAUAACGGUCCUAAGGUAGCGAAAUUCCUUGUCGGGUAAGUUCCGAC
RNAcentral lists this ribosomal RNA (1926 nucleotides) under marine metagenome. RNAcentral's name for it is "bacterial LSU rRNA". It matches the Rfam family "Bacterial large subunit ribosomal RNA", at positions 3 to 1987 of the family's 2925-position model. The record is from RNAcentral.